RNAcentral lists this ribosomal RNA (494 nucleotides) under uncultured bacterium. RNAcentral's name for it is "bacterial SSU rRNA". It matches the Rfam family "Bacterial small subunit ribosomal RNA", at positions 29 to 507 of the family's 1533-position model. The record is from RNAcentral.
AGCGAACGUUAGCGGCGGGCCUAACACAUGCAAGUCGAACGAGAAAAUCCCUUCGGGGGUGAGUACAGUGGCGCACGGGUGAGGAACGCGUAGGUAAUCUACCCUCUGGCGGGGGACAACACUCCGAAAGGAAUGCUAAUACCGCGUAAGACCACACUUACUAAGGUGAGAGUGGUGAAAGGUGCCUCAAAGCACCACCAGAGGAUGAGCCUGCGUCCCAUCAGCUUGUUGGUAAGGUAACGGCUUACCAAGGCGAAGACGGGUAGCUGGUCUGAGAGGAUGAUCAGCCACACUGGUACUGGAACACGGACCAGACUCCUACGGGAGGCAGCAGUGAGGAAUAUUGGGCAAUGGGCGAAAGCCUGACCCAGCCACGCCGCGUGUGUGAUGAAGGCCUUCGGGUCGUAAAGCACUGUGGGGAGAGACGAAACAGCGCAGUAGGAAAUGACUGCGCCUUGACGGUACCUCCUUAGCAAGCACCGGCUAACUCUGUG